This 282-nucleotide long non-coding RNA is filed under the name Ananas comosus (pineapple). RNAcentral's name for it is "long non-coding RNA (ACOM_LNC016765)". Lineage: Eukaryota; Viridiplantae; Streptophyta; Magnoliopsida; Poales; Bromeliaceae. The record is from RNAcentral.
UUUCUAUAGUAUUUUUAAGAAAUUUCGUGGGAGGGCUUUUAGAUGAUUGUGACCCAUUGAAAAUUUUCUUAGGGCAUAAUGAAAAGAAAAAAGCUGAGAAUCGAUGACACAUCUAAAGUAAAAGAAGGGAAUGAAAUGACAGAACAAUUUGCAGAUUUUAGUAAAAGUGUAAGAGAAGUUAUGUCAGAAAUAAGUUCACAAUUUUCUAUUAUGGCUAAUGCAAUAUCACAUGAGCACGAAAUGGUGGAAAAAAAAUAGGUCAAAAUUAGUAGAGGAAGUGCU